Molecule: unclassified non-coding RNA, 64 nt
Filed under: Flavobacterium johnsoniae
Lineage: Bacteria; Pseudomonadati; Bacteroidota; Flavobacteriia; Flavobacteriales; Flavobacteriaceae
Description: Flavo-1 RNA
Source: RNAcentral
UUCUAGCCCUGAUGGAAGAUCGCCCCGCGGCGGAUAAAAGAUACAGCGGACAGCAGGAACAGCU